ACUUUUAAUGGAAAACAGGCAUCCGC
This 26-nucleotide transfer RNA is filed under the name Trioceros nyirit. Its description in RNAcentral is "partial tRNA-Leu". The record is from RNAcentral. RNAcentral also lists the same sequence under 1 other name. Lineage: Eukaryota; Metazoa; Chordata; Lepidosauria; Squamata; Chamaeleonidae.